This 422-nucleotide ribosomal RNA is filed under the name uncultured bacterium. RNAcentral describes it as "bacterial SSU rRNA". It matches the Rfam family "Bacterial small subunit ribosomal RNA", at positions 360 to 773 of the family's 1533-position model. The record is from RNAcentral.
AAUUGUUCGCAAUGGGCGCAAGCCUGACGACGCAACGCCGCGUGGAGGAUGAAGGUCUUCGGAUUGUAAACUCCUGUUGAUGGGGAAGAACAGGUAUCGGAUGAAUACUCCGGUGCACUGACGGUACCCGUUGAGGAAGCCACGGCUAACUCUGUGCCAGCAGCCGCGGUAAUACGUAGGAUGCAAGCGUUGUCCGGAAUUAUUGGGCGUAAAGAGAACGUAGGUGGCUUGUUAAGUUUGGUCUUAAAGACCGGGGCUCAACCCCGGGAAUGGACUGAAAACUGGCAGGCUAGAGGAUGUCAGAGGAUGGUGGAAUUCCCAGUGUAGCGGUGAAAUGCGUAGAUAUUGGGAGGAACACCUGUGGCGAAAGCGGCCAUCUGGGGCAUUCCUGACACUGAGGUUCGAAAGCUCGGGGAGCAAAC